GCGGUCGCUGCGUGACGGCGAUGCAGGGCGGGCUCGCAGCCGGCCCGGGCCGGCGGUCGCGGCGCCGGAGACCCUG
Molecule: transfer RNA, 76 nt
Filed under: Burkholderia lata
Lineage: Bacteria; Pseudomonadati; Pseudomonadota; Betaproteobacteria; Burkholderiales; Burkholderiaceae
Description: tRNA-Ala
Source: RNAcentral